RNAcentral lists this transfer RNA (799 nucleotides) under Bradyrhizobium sp. 05LoS21R3_23. Its description in RNAcentral is "16S-23S ribosomal RNA intergenic spacer". The stretch from base 191 to 264 matches the Rfam family "tRNA". Lineage: Bacteria; Pseudomonadati; Pseudomonadota; Alphaproteobacteria; Hyphomicrobiales; Nitrobacteraceae. The record is from RNAcentral.
CUAAGGAUGAUCCUUCAGCGAGCUUCGGCUUCUAUCGGAUCGUUUUAGAAACAUCAGUGGCCAACGGUCGUCAGGAUCGUUGAGCUGCAUUGGCGGGAUUUCGCCGUCUUCGUUUCUCUUUCUUCGCGGACGAACACGCGCUGGGGCUGCAGGCUUGCAGAUCCCUGGUCCUUGACUGGAUAUGCGUUAGGGGCUUGUAGCUCAGUUGGUUAGAGCGCGCGCUUGAUAAGCGUGAGGUCGGAAGUUCAAGUCUUCCCAGGCCCACCACACUCAUCGAGUGAGCAUUCGUCUUCUGGUUACGGGGCCAUAGCUCAGCUGGGAGAGCGCGUGCUUUGCAAGCAUGAGGUCGUCGGUUCGAUCCCGUCUGGCUCCACCAGAUGGUUUGAUCAUCGGCUGAUCGUACCUAAAUCGUCCGCGAAACAUCACUUCGCACUUGCUAGUCUGGAUAGACAGCAAGUUGCGUGAUUUCUGACAUCGUAAAGAGGAGAUCGAUCCGAGUUGGAUCGUGCAGCAAGCAAUUGCUACGCGGUACUCCAUUAUCUCCGGAUCAUUUCGGCGCUCGUGCGUCUUCCAGGGUAGCUCACAAGGCUGCGUUGAAAGACAUGCGAGUUGUAAAUGAUCCUUUUAGCGAAGCUUGACCGCCUCGCUAUCGGAACGAUCUUACGAAGCAAGCUGGUCUUUCUAAUCAUUGUCCGGCUGCAGAUAGCGUUCAUCGAGGGCGCGUGCCUUAGAGAUUUCGAUCUCUUGGCAAUUCUGCAGACAACAUUCUGCCGAGUGUGUGGACAUUGAUAAUGAGAGC